AUUGAACGCUAGCGGGAUGCUUUACACAUGCAAGUCGAACGGCAGCGCGGACUUCGGUCUGGCGGCGAGUGGCGAACGGGUGAGUAAUGUAUCGGAACGUGCCCAGUAGCGGGGGAUAACUACGCGAAAGCGUAGCUAAUACCGCAUACGCCCUGCGGGGGAAAGAGGGGGAUCUUAGGACCUGCCGCUUUCGGACGGGCCGAAAUCGGAUUAGCUAGUUGGUGGGGUAACGGCCCACCAAGGCGACGAUCCGUAGCUGGUUUGAGAGGACGACCAGCCACACUGGGACUGAGACACGGCCCAGACUCCUACGGGAGGCAGCAGUGGGGAAUUUUGGACAAUGGGGGCAACCCUGAUCCAGCCAUCCCGCGUGUGCGAUGAAGGCCUUCGGGUUGUAAAGCACUUUUGGCAGGAAAGAAACGUCGCGGGCUAAUACCCCGUGGAACUGACGGUACCUGCAGAAUAAGCACCGGCUAACUACGUG
This 484-nucleotide ribosomal RNA is filed under the name uncultured bacterium. RNAcentral's name for it is "partial 16S ribosomal RNA". It matches the Rfam family "Bacterial small subunit ribosomal RNA", at positions 29 to 507 of the family's 1533-position model. The record is from RNAcentral.